GGUUUUGUGGUGUAGUUGGUUAUCACGUUCGCCUCACAUUCAACUGAAUCUGAACGCGAAAGGUCCCGAGUUCGAACCUCGGCGAAAUCA
Molecule: transfer RNA, 90 nt
Filed under: Didymella glomerata
Lineage: Eukaryota; Fungi; Ascomycota; Dothideomycetes; Pleosporales; Didymellaceae
Description: tRNA-Val
Source: RNAcentral